RNAcentral lists this ribosomal RNA (465 nucleotides) under uncultured bacterium. Its description in RNAcentral is "bacterial SSU rRNA". It matches the Rfam family "Bacterial small subunit ribosomal RNA", at positions 917 to 1382 of the family's 1533-position model. The record is from RNAcentral.
GGGCCCGCACAAGCGGAGGAGCAUGUGGUUUAAUUCGAUGAUACGCGAGGAACCUUACCUAGACUUGAACGUAAGAGUAAUAUAUAAGAGAUUAUGUAGCUAGAAAUAGAUUCUUACGAGGUGCUGCAUGGUUGUCGUCAGCUCGUGCCGUGAGGUGUCAGGUUAAGUCCUAUAACGAGCGCAACCCUUGUACUUAGUUACCAGCAUGUAAAGAUGGGGACUCUAAGUAGACUGCCGGCGUAAGCCGAGAGGAGGGAGGGGAUGACGUCAAAUCAGCACGGCCCUUACGUCUAGGGCGACACACGUGCUACAAUGGUAGAUACAGAGGGCAGCGAGCCAGUAAUGGUGAGCGAAUCUCAAAAGUCUAUCUUAGUUCGGAUUGGAGUCUGCAACCCGACUUCAUGAAGAUGGAUUCGCUAGUAAUCGCAGAUCAGCCAUGCUGCGGUGAAUACGUUCCCGGGCCUU